CGGCGUGGAUAAGACAUGCAAGUCGAACGCUAAUUUGGCUGUAGCAAUACAGUCAAGUAGGAGUGGCGCAAGGGUGAGUAACACGUGGGUAAUUUGCCGCGAAGUUGGGGAUAACUCGCUGAAAGGCGAGCUAAUACAGAAUGUGAAAAUUAGGAGGCAUCUUAUGAUUUUUAAAGUUGGGGACCGCAAGGCCUGACGCUUCAAGAUAAGCCCGCGGCCUAUCAGAUAGUUGGUGAGGUAACGGCUCACCAAGGAUAAGACGGGUAGCUGGUCUGAGAGGACGCCCAGUCACACUGGAAGUGAGACACGGUCCAGACACCUACGGGUGGCAGCAGUAGAGAAUUUUUCUCAAUGGGAGAAAGCCUGAAAGGAGCGACGCCGCGUGGGGGAUGAAGGGCUUCGGCUCGUAAACGCCUGUCAUUUGCGAACAAACCUUACGAUUUAAUAGA
RNAcentral lists this ribosomal RNA (449 nucleotides) under uncultured bacterium. RNAcentral describes it as "bacterial SSU rRNA". It matches the Rfam family "Bacterial small subunit ribosomal RNA", at positions 40 to 468 of the family's 1533-position model. The record is from RNAcentral.